CAAAAAAAAAAAAAAAAAGACUGACUAACUACUGACUGACUGACUGAUGCUUCUGACUCGAGAUUAGAGAUAUCAAAGUCUUGUAUUCUAUCUAUUUUAAGGUGACUGAAUUGAAUACAUAUACCUAGACAAUUCCAAUCAUUGUAUACGACAGACGUCCCAACAUUUGAGGACGUUCCCAUUUGUUCCAUCAUUUAUUUUUGGGUCUCAUGUCUUGUUAAUAAUGUAUAUCUCACGCAACCCAACAGCCUUUCAAAAAUAUGCAAGGGUCAGUUUUUUUUUGUUUCUUUUCUAGCUAGCGGCCAGAGUGGUCAGGUAGUUAGUCAUUAUAAUAAAUAAUGAAUGUUUCUCUUGUUCUGAGUCUUUUUUUACGACUCGCCAUUCAUAUACAUGUACACCAAUAUUAAAACAUUAAAAAUAUUGAAUGU
Biomphalaria pfeifferi is the source of this 428-nucleotide non-coding RNA. Lineage: Eukaryota; Metazoa; Mollusca; Gastropoda; Planorbidae. The record is from the annotation of a GenBank genome assembly.